CCUGGUGACUCAGAUGGUAAAGAGCCUGCCUGCAAUGCAGGAGACCUGGAUUCAAUCCUUGCAUCAGGA
RNAcentral lists this transfer RNA (69 nucleotides) under Ovis aries (sheep). It matches the Rfam family "tRNA". From Rfam's summary of the family: Transfer RNA (tRNA) molecules are approximately 80 nucleotides in length. Their secondary structure includes four short double-helical elements and three loops (D, anti-codon, and T loops). The record is from Rfam by way of RNAcentral. Lineage: Eukaryota; Metazoa; Chordata; Mammalia; Artiodactyla; Bovidae.